GACGAACGCUGGCGGCGUGCCUAAUACAUGCAAGUAGAACGCUGAAGGAGGAGCUUGCUUCUCUGGAUGAGUUGCGAACGGGUGAGUAACGCGUAGGUAACCUGCCUGGUAGCGGGGGAUAACUAUUGGAAACGAUAGCUAAUACCGCAUAAUAGCAGUUGUUGCAUGACAACUGUUUGAAAGGUGCAAUUGCACCACUACCAGAUGGACCUGCGUUGUAUUAGCUAGUUGGUGGGGUAACGGCUCACCAAGGCGACGAUACAUAGCCGACCUGAGAGGGUGAUCGGCCACACUGGGACGGAGACACGGCCCAGACUCCUACGGGAGGCAGCAGUAGGGAAUCUUCGGCAAUGGGCGGAAGUCUGACCGAGCAACGCCGCGGGAGUGAAGAAGGUUGUCGGAUCGUAAAGCUCUGUUGUAAGGGAAGAACGAGUGUGAGAGUGGAAAGUUCACACUGUGGCGGUAUCUUACCAGAAAGGGACGGCUAACUACGUG
This 495-nucleotide ribosomal RNA is filed under the name uncultured bacterium. RNAcentral's name for it is "partial 16S ribosomal RNA". It matches the Rfam family "Bacterial small subunit ribosomal RNA", at positions 28 to 507 of the family's 1533-position model. The record is from RNAcentral.